Molecule: ribosomal RNA, 1277 nt
Filed under: uncultured Pelagibacterales bacterium
Lineage: Bacteria; Pseudomonadati; Pseudomonadota; Alphaproteobacteria; Candidatus Pelagibacterales
Description: bacterial SSU rRNA
Rfam family: Bacterial small subunit ribosomal RNA
Source: RNAcentral
AGAGUUUGAUCCUGGCUCAGAACGUACGCUGGCGGCACGCCUAACACAUGCAAGUCGAACGAAGUAGCAAUACUUAGUGGCAGACGGGUGAGUAACAUGUAGGUAUCUGCCCUUUGGCCUGGAAUAACACGAGGAAACUUGUGCUAAUACCGGAUAAGUCUUUACGGAGAAAGCUUUAUGCACCAUUGGAUGAGCCUGCACUUGAUUAGUUUGUUGGUGGGGUAAUGGCCUACCAAGACUGUGAUCAAUAGCUGAUUUGAGAGGAUGAUCAGCCACAUUGGGACUGAGACACGGCCCAAACUCCUACGGGAGGCAGCAGUGGGGAAUCUUGCACAAUGGAGGAAACUCUGAUGCAGCGAUGCCGCGUGAGUGAAGAAGGCCUUUGGGUUGUAAAGCUCUUUCGUCGGGGAAGAAAAUGACUGUACCCGAAUAAGAAGGUCCGGCUAACUUCGUGCCAGCAGCCGCGGUAAUACGAAGGGACCUAGCGUAGUUCGGAAUUACUGGGCUUAAAGAGUUCGUAGGUGGUUGAAAAAGUUAGUGGUGAAAUCCCAGAGCUUAACUCUGGAACUGCCAUUAAAACUUUUCAGCUAGAGUAUGAUAGAGGAAAGCAGAAUUUCUAGUGUAGAGGUGAAAUUCGUAGAUAUUAGAAAGAAUACCAAUUGCGAAGGCAGCUUUCUGGAUCAUUACUGACACUGAGGAACGAAAGCAUGGGUAGCGAAGAGGAUUAGAUACCCUCGUAGUCCAUGCCGUAAACGAUGUGUGUUAGACGUUGGAAAUUUAUUUUCAGUGUCGCAGGGAAACCGAUAAACACACCGCCUGGGGAGUACGACCGCAAGGUUAAAACUCAAAUGAAUUGACGGGGACCCGCACAAGUAGUGGAGCAUGUGGUUUAAUUCGAAGAUACGCGCAGAACCUUACCAACACUUGACAUGUUCGUCGCGACUCUAAGAGAUUAGAGUUUUCGGUUCGGCCGGACGAAACACAGGUGCUGCAUGGCUGUCGUCAGCUCGUGUCGUGAGAUGUUGGGUUAAGUCCCGCAACGAGCGCAACCCUCACUUUUAGUUGCCAUCAUUAAGUUGGGCACUCUGAAAGAACUGCCAGUGAUAAGCUGGAGGAAGGUGGGGAUGACGUCAAGUCCUCAUGGCCCUUACGUGUUGGGCUACACACGUGCUACAAUGGUAUCUACAACAGGAAGCAAGACUGCGAAGUUAAGCAAAUCCCUAAAAGAUACCUCAGUUCGGAUUGCACUCUGCAACUCGAGUGCAUGAAGCUGGAAU